GGCACAAUGGGAGCCCCUAGAAGCAGUACAACUAUUUGGACAUCUUUCUUACGCAGUGAUUCCUGUCUUAUCUUAGAAGGCACUAGAAGAAAAAGGGCACAGAAGCUUUGUAGAGGAAUGUCCGAAGACCCAGUCCAGUUACAAUUACACAGAACAAAGGUCCUGCCACUGAAAUGAACAGCCAUGGGAUCCAGCAGUUCAGUUUCUUCUCCUCUUCAUUUCUAAAUCUCAAAAGCAUUUUCUUCAGCACGAAGGCAUUAAAUCAACAUUCUCCAUCAAAAAUGAACAAUUACUUUGUUGACUUGCUCAGAUUCCCGCUUUAAGCCUCCCCACAGAUCUCUCCUAGCAAGCCAACAGACAGCAUCAGUAGCACAGGAAAGGUGUCAGAGGAAAUUUAAAAAACAAGAAGA
Molecule: long non-coding RNA, 410 nt
Organism: Oxyura jamaicensis (ruddy duck)
Lineage: Eukaryota; Metazoa; Chordata; Aves; Anseriformes; Anatidae
Exons: 4
Source: RefSeq, a predicted model, not a curated record